Molecule: long non-coding RNA, 313 nt
Filed under: Mytilus galloprovincialis (Mediterranean mussel)
Lineage: Eukaryota; Metazoa; Mollusca; Bivalvia; Mytilida; Mytilidae
Source: RNAcentral
GGGGAUUCAAAGAGUUGGAGGGGGAUUUUUUUUUCCAUUUUUUUUUUUUUUUAAUUCAUUUUUUUAAUUUUUCAAAUUUUUUGAAACAACUGUCAUAUUCCUGACUUGGUACAAGCAUUUUCUUAUUCAGAAAAUAAUGGAUUGAACCUGGUGUUAUAGCUAGCUAAACCUCUCAUUUGUAAGUAAAAGGACAAUGUAUCACUUUGUAUCUAAGAAUUGAACUUAAGACUUUUAACAGAAUACAAAUCAGUGGUUUAAUUAAAGAUACUAGAACACACCCGCGACAUCACAGGUCUGUAACUGAAAUAAAGUU